UAUUGGACUAAGAGCCAGCGAGUGCCUGACCUUCAUUAUUUUAUAAAAGCUGAAAGUUUCUCUGCAUAUUGUCCCCAACACAGGGAGGAA
Molecule: long non-coding RNA, 90 nt
Organism: Maniola jurtina (meadow brown)
Lineage: Eukaryota; Metazoa; Arthropoda; Insecta; Lepidoptera; Nymphalidae
Exons: 3
Source: RefSeq, a predicted model, not a curated record